RNAcentral lists this ribosomal RNA (390 nucleotides) under uncultured bacterium. RNAcentral's name for it is "bacterial SSU rRNA". It matches the Rfam family "Bacterial small subunit ribosomal RNA", at positions 30 to 418 of the family's 1533-position model. The record is from RNAcentral.
AUUGAACGCUGGCGGCAUGCCUUACACAUGCAAGUCGAACGGCAGCACGGGAGCUUGCUCCUGGUGGCGAGUGGCGAACGGGUGAGUAAUACAUCGGAACGUACCCUGAAGUGGGGGAUAACGUGGCGAAAGUUACGCUAAUACCGCAUAUUCUGUGAGCAGGAAAGAGGGGGAUCGCAAGACCUCUUGCUUUAGGAGCGGCCGAUGUCGGAUUAGCUAGUUGGUGAGGUAAAGGCUCACCAAGGCGACGAUCCGUAGCGGGUCUGAGAGGAUGAUCCGCCACACUGGGACUGAGACACGGCCCAGACUCCUACGGGAGGCAGCAGUGGGGAAUUUUGGACAAUGGGCGCAAGCCUGAUCCAGCCAUGCCGCGUGAGUGAAGAAGGCCUC